AGACAUAAUAUGUCGAGACAACCACCUGUGGUUUUGGGUUCUCUGAACAUUCAGAGGUCCUGCCGCCCGAAAAAACAUCACCCCCGCGCUGUAAAAUCAUUACAGAACAUCUCUCCUUUGAGCCAAGACUGCGGAGCGAGGACUAGUGAAACAGAUACUAUCCCCUCUGUUCGAACGACCAACAGCCCAGACACCUGGCCAACAGCCCAGAACAGCUCAAAGAUAAUCAGCGAAUCCGUCCUAAUGGAGCUUUCUGAAGUUGCUCAGGGGAAUAAAUGAUCUGGAACAGCCUUCGUUAGAAGGGGGUUCAGAGGAGCAACACGCAUGCAGCCAGUCCCCAUCACAUUAUUGUAGACUUGACAUACCACCAAGAAGGAUAACGGCCUCCUUAUGGACCCUGAACGACUUCCGAGGGGAAUUAUAUAUAUAUAUAUUAGUUAUACAUAUUUUAUUAUUUAUACAUUUUUUGAUGAUUGAAUGGCUGAGCCAACAGACACAAUUGAGACAGUUGAAACCCUGUUAUCCCAAGCUAUAAUUAACCAGAUGGAUGAGGCUUGGGUAACAGACAUAAUACCGAUAGAUGAAAACAUUAUCACCAAUACCCCCGAUAGAAAUAAUUAAUCAUGUGAAUGAGUCAGGGACAACCGAUGAAAAACUGUUAUCUCAGAUUCCUGAAGCCCUCAUAUCGUCAAUUAACCAGAUGAAUGAGAGCCUAAGAUCUUCUACACCGGACACCCCACAAACCCCGCCAUUAACGCCCAUGUCCGACGAGUCUGAAACGCAAUACAAUGUUUUUGAGGAAUUGGAAAAUUGUCUAAUAAAUCAGGAGGGAGAUGGUAUUGAUAGAAGUGUCCGGGUUGUGUACCGAAAUAAAUUCAGCAAUACAGAGAUUCGACUAUUUUUCUAUUUCACAUGGGUGAAUCAGAAUCUUGACCGCAGUGUUUUAUGUGAUGAUACUGGAUACUCUGAACUUGAAAUUUGUGGAGAUACCGUGUUGUGCAGGCUCUCUUAUUUUACCCAAUGGCGAAGCAGACCGUGAACAAUUUAUAGCCCUGCUGGAACGACUUGUUCAGUCAAAUGUAUUGUUCAGUCAAAAGGACCCUCGAGCUUGUAGUGCAAAUAAUACGUCAACCCCUGGGUGGUCAGAGAAGGAAGCUUGAUAGCCUAAUGCAAUCAGAAAUCAUAAGCAAUAAAAUGGCAUAUCUCAUAAACGUUCACAAUCCUGGUAAAAAGCUAUGCUUUGCAAUAGGCCUAGCACAUUUACUCAACCCUGGGUGUACAGAUCUAGCGGCGUUACACAAGGCUAGAGAGCUCCAAACGGCCGUGGGUCUAGGUAUACAGGAUGCGGUGGCUUUCUUGGACAUAGUCAAGUUUGAAAACCUUCUGAACAUCAAGAUUGUGGUUUUGUACCACAGUAGAGCUAAUGCAGCUCUCUUGAAAUUUCAAAACAACCCUCAUCCUCAGAUUCUGUACUUUUAUGUGCAAAACGCCCACUAUUAUGCUAUUACCAACAUCACCGUGUUUUUAGGCGCACCAUGUCUGUACAUCGUGCCAUACCGGCUACACUCGAAAGGGGGGGCACUCGUGCCGUUAUAACUGUUCAGUACGUCUGGAUGAAAAUUGUCAAAUGCAGCCCUUAAACUUGACACCCUGUGAGGAUUGUCGCCGCAAAUGUCGUUCGGCCUACUGUUACGAAAAACCCCAAAUUGAAACAUUUUUUAUUUUUAUUUUACCUUUUAUUUAACCAGGUAGGCAAGUUGAGAACAAGUUCUCAUUUACAAUUGCGACCUGGCAAUGGAAACAUGGCACCCCAAGGCCUGUAAAUCUGUAAGCAGUUGUGACAUUAACUUCUUAUGGCUGCAGGGGCAGUAUUGAGUAGCUUGGAUGAA
Oncorhynchus kisutch (coho salmon) is the source of this 1889-nucleotide long non-coding RNA. RefSeq lists it as uncharacterized. The transcript has 3 exons. The record is from RefSeq and is a predicted model, not a curated record. Lineage: Eukaryota; Metazoa; Chordata; Actinopteri; Salmoniformes; Salmonidae.